UAAGGCCUAUGAUGGAAUAUUAUAAUAUGCCUACAUUGUCUGAACAUUUUUAACUUGAUUGAGCAAAUAUUAACUGAGGCCUUA
Molecule: small nucleolar RNA, 84 nt
Filed under: Capsicum annuum
Lineage: Eukaryota; Viridiplantae; Streptophyta; Magnoliopsida; Solanales; Solanaceae
Also listed under: 1 other name
Description: Small nucleolar RNA SNORD34
Rfam family: Small nucleolar RNA SNORD34
About the family: snoRNA U34 is found in intron 5 of the ribosomal protein L13a gene in humans.
Source: Rfam by way of RNAcentral